CUUCAAAUUGUGGAUUACAGAUAGGAUAGUACUUGCAUUUCAAACACCCGCUGUCUUCAUUGCAGUUUCGUUGAAUAUAUCGUAAUGAAGUCACCAUGCCUACCUACACAGUACAAGACUGCUGGGGAUCAACCAAUCAAUUCAUUGAACCAGUCAACAGACCUCAUAAGGGAUCAGAUGCAAAGAAAAGGACUGUGUUCCUGUGAAGCAAGGACAAGGGUUGCUCUUGUGGCUAUUUGAAGAAGCAGGCACGAGGAAAAAAUGGUGCUGAAGCACAUCAUAUUGCAGAAACAAUGGCAACCCAACCAGAUGUUCUUGCAACUGAA
Molecule: long non-coding RNA, 326 nt
Organism: Rhineura floridana
Lineage: Eukaryota; Metazoa; Chordata; Lepidosauria; Squamata; Rhineuridae
Exons: 4
Source: RefSeq, a predicted model, not a curated record